AACGAACGCUGGCGGCGUGCUUAACACAUGCAAGUCGAACGAGAAAGGAUCCUUCGGGGUCCGAGUAAAGUGGCGGACGGGUGAGUAAUGCAUGGAUGACCUGCCCUCGAGUGGGGGAUAACUACGGGAAACCGUGGCUAAUACCGCAUGAUGAUGUGCUGCUCUCGAGCAGCAUCUCCAAAGUUGGCCUCUACGUGUAAGCUGACGCUUGAGGAGGGGUCCAUGUCCCAUUAGCUUGUUGGUGAGGUAACGGCUCACCAAGGCUCCGAUGGGUAGCCGACCUGAGAGGGUGAUCGGCCACACUGGGACUGAGACACGGCCCAG
This 324-nucleotide ribosomal RNA is filed under the name uncultured bacterium. RNAcentral's name for it is "bacterial SSU rRNA". It matches the Rfam family "Bacterial small subunit ribosomal RNA", at positions 29 to 334 of the family's 1533-position model. The record is from RNAcentral.